This 253-nucleotide ribosomal RNA is filed under the name uncultured bacterium. RNAcentral's name for it is "partial 16S ribosomal RNA". It matches the Rfam family "Bacterial small subunit ribosomal RNA", at positions 524 to 776 of the family's 1533-position model. The record is from RNAcentral.
UACGUAGGGUGCGAGCGUUAAUCGGAAUUACUGGGCGUAAAGCGUGCGCAGGCGGUUCGUUGUGUCGGCGGUGAAAGCCCCGGGCUUAACCUGGGAAUGGCCGUCGAAACUGGCGAACUGGAGUGUGGCAGAGGGGGGUGGAAUUCCGCGUAUAGCAGUGAAAUGCGUAGAGAUGCGGAGGAACACCGAUGGCGAAGGCAACCGCCUGGGCCUGUACUGACGCUGAGACACGAAAGCGUGGGGAGCAAACAGG